This 446-nucleotide ribosomal RNA is filed under the name uncultured bacterium. Its description in RNAcentral is "partial 16S ribosomal RNA". It matches the Rfam family "Bacterial small subunit ribosomal RNA", at positions 29 to 523 of the family's 1533-position model. The record is from RNAcentral.
AACGAACGCUGGCGGCAGGCUUAACACAUGCAAGUCGAACGCCCCGCAAGGGGAGUGGCAGACGGGUGAGUAACACGUGGGAACAUGCCCAAAGGUACGGACUAUUCUCGGGAAACUGGGAGCAAUACCGUAUGUGCCCGAAAGGGGAAAGAUUUAUCGCCUUUGGAUUGGCCCGCGUUGGAUUAGCUAGUUGGUGGGGUAAAAGCCUACCAAGGCGACGAUCCAUAGCUGGUCUGAGAGGAAGACCAGCCACACUGGGACUGAGACACGGCCAGACUCCUACGGGAGGCAGCAGUGGGGAAUCUUGGACAAUGGGCGCAAGCCUGAUCCAGCCAUGCCGCGUGAGUGAUGAAGGCCCUAGGGUUGUAAAACUCUUUCGUGGGGGACGAUAAUGACGGUACCCCAAGAAGAAGCUCCGGCUAACUUCGUGCCAGCAGCCGCGGUAA